This 253-nucleotide ribosomal RNA is filed under the name uncultured bacterium. Its description in RNAcentral is "partial 16S ribosomal RNA". It matches the Rfam family "Bacterial small subunit ribosomal RNA", at positions 524 to 776 of the family's 1533-position model. The record is from RNAcentral.
UACGAAGGGGGCUAGCGUUGCUCGGAAUCACUGGGCGUAAAGCGCACGUAGGCGGCUUUUUAAGUCAGGGGUGAAAUCCUGGAGCUCAACUCCAGAACUGCCUUUGAUACUGGGGAUCUUGAGUCCGGAAGAGGUGAGUGGAACUCCGAGUGUAGAGGUGAAAUUCGUAGAUAUUCGGAAGAACACCAGUGGCAAAGGCGGCUCACUGGUCCGGUACUGACGCUGAGGUGCGAAAGCGUGGGGAGCAAACAGG